UGAGUAACACGUACUUAACAUGCCCUCUAGAUUGGAAUAACGAUUAGAAAUGAUCGCUAAUGCCGGAUACUUAUUUCCUUCGCAUGAAGGAUAUAUAAAAGGAGCGUUUGCUUCGCUAGAGGAUUGGGGUGCGUAACAUUAGCUAGUUGGUAGGGUAAUGGCCUACCAAGGCUAUGAUGUUUAGCGGGGUUGAGAGACUGAUCCGCCACACUGGGACUGAGAUACGGCCCAGACUCCUACGGGAGGCAGCAGUAGGGAAUUUUCCACAAUGGACGAAAGUCUGAUGGAGCGACACAGCGUGCAGGAUGACGGCCUUCGGGUUGUAAACUGCUGUUAUAAGGGAAGAAAAAAUAAAGUAGGAAAUGACUUUAUCUUGACGGUACCUUGUCAGAAAGCAACGGCUAACUAUGUGCCAGCAGCCGCGGUAAUACAUAGGUUGCAAGCGUUAUCCGGAAUUAUUGGGCGUAAAGCGUCUGUAGGUUGUUUGUUAAGUCUGACGUGAAAACUUGGGGCUCAACCCCAAAUUGCGUUGGAUACUGGCAAACUAGAGUUAUGAAGAGGUUAGCGGAAUUCCUUGUGAAGCGGUGAAAUGCGUAGAUAUAAGGAAGAACACCAACUUGGCGAAGGCAGCUAACUGGGCAUACACUGACACUGAGAGACGAAAGCGUGGGGAGCAAACAGGAUUAGAUACCCUGGUAGUCCACGCUGUAAACGAUGAUGAUUAGCUGAUGGGGAACUCAUCGGCACAGCUAACGCAUUAAAUCAUCCGCCUGAGUAGUAUGCUCGCAAGAGUGAAACUUAAAGGAAUUGACGGGGAUCCGCACAAGCGGUGGAGCAUGUGGUUUAAUUUGAAGAUACGCGUAGAACCUUACCCACUCUUGACAUCUUCCGCAAAGCUAUAGAGAUAUAGUGGAGGUUAACAGAGUGACAAA
This 932-nucleotide ribosomal RNA is filed under the name uncultured Mycoplasma sp. Its description in RNAcentral is "bacterial SSU rRNA". It matches the Rfam family "Bacterial small subunit ribosomal RNA", at positions 107 to 1038 of the family's 1533-position model. The record is from RNAcentral. Lineage: Bacteria; Bacillati; Mycoplasmatota; Mollicutes; Mycoplasmatales; Mycoplasmataceae.